Ipomoea nil (Japanese morning glory) is the source of this 890-nucleotide long non-coding RNA. RefSeq lists it as uncharacterized. The record is from RefSeq and is a predicted model, not a curated record. The transcript is spliced from 4 exons. Lineage: Eukaryota; Viridiplantae; Streptophyta; Magnoliopsida; Solanales; Convolvulaceae.
GCUAAGAAUCGAGAAAGUUCUUCAUUUCACCAUUUUUGUCUCUCUCUCCACUCUCAAGAUACGAAGCAUAUACUCCUUCUUCCUAAAAAUCUGCAUGUUUCCGAUCGCUUUAUCUACACACAUUUUAGUGUUAAAUGCGUAGAUCCUUUCCGAAAUCCUUGAUUUUGGAAUGGAUCUGUUGAACCUGCCUGUCCGAUCGCUAGGUUACUACAUGUCUUCAAUUUUUUUCUUAAUUUUUUGUUUUGUUUUUUAGGGUAUGAGUUCAGCGGAAAUAUAAUCAAGCGAGAUCGGAGUUUGUCUUCAGUCAUCGUUGAACUCAAGAGUAUUUCGGAGCUGUAAAGUGGGAUCUAGUACAUGCAUGACCAGACCUGUAGGAUCUGGAACCAAGAACUGGACAUGAGCAGGUCUACAAAUACAGAAGAGUUAUGCGAUGAAGUACAAAUUCAAUGUGCUCUAAUUGAUGGCUAAGUAUUCAGUGUGCUCUCAUUGAUGGCUAAGUAAUGGAGGUUAUUGAAAUCAGGGACUCAUGGGUGCCAAUAUAAUGCUUUGAACACUAAUUAAGACUAAUGUUCUUGACCAGUACAUAUUGAGAAGGCAUUGGAUAUUUUGGCAGAUUAUUACGUUUGUAUUGUAUAGAAGUCAGAUUGAACUUCUUCAUCUCAUCGACCUCUAUAUAUAGAGAUGGAAUGUGCUAUCAGGACUGUUCUCCUAGAGAAACGAAGAGUCCUACUUUGGAACAAUGAGAAAUAAUCAUUUUGUUAUUUCAAAUUUCAAAUUACUUAUUUUCAGAAAUAGAACAUAUGUAUUAGUUGUAAAUAUUAGUUCUAGAGUGUAAAAUGUAAAUUGUAAAUUCAAUUUCAUUUUUCCCUUUUCGACUUCCCAGAUAGUUC